UUUGACCUCGGAUCAGGUAGGGAUACCCGCUGAACUUAAGCAUAUCAAUAAGCGGAGGAAAAGAAACCAACAGGGAUUGCCCUAGUAACGGCGAGUGAAGCGGCAACAGCUCAAAUUUGAAAUCUGGCUCUUUCAGAGUCCGAGUUGUAAUUUGCAGAGGGCGCUUUGGCUUUGGCAGCGGUCCAAGUUCCUUGGAACAGGACGUCACAGAGGGUGAGAAUCCCGUACGUGGUCGCUAGCUAUUGCCGUGUAAAGCCCCUUCGACGAGUCGAGUUGUUUGGGAAUGCAGCUCUAAAUGGGAGGUAAAUUUCUUCUAAAGCUAAAUACUGGCCAGAGACCGAUAGCGCACAAGUAGAGUGAUCGAAAGAUGAAAAGCACUUUGGAAAGAGAGUCAAACAGCACGUGAAAUUGUUGAAAGGGAAGCGCUUGCAGCCAGACUUGCUUGCAGUUGCUCAUCCGGGCUUUUGCCCGGUGCACUCUUCUGCAGGCAGGCCAGCAUCAGUUUGGGCGGUGGGAUAAAGGUCUCUGACACGUUCCUUCCUUCGGGUUGGCCAUAUAGGGGAGACGUCAUACCACCAGCCUGGACUGAGGUCCGCGCAUCUGCU
Molecule: ribosomal RNA, 605 nt
Filed under: Curvularia geniculata
Lineage: Eukaryota; Fungi; Ascomycota; Dothideomycetes; Pleosporales; Pleosporaceae
Description: partial large subunit ribosomal RNA
Rfam family: Eukaryotic large subunit ribosomal RNA
Source: RNAcentral